CCUACGGGAGGCAGCAGUAGGGAAUAUUGCUCAAUGGGGGAAACCCUGAAGCAGCAACGCCGCGUGGAGGAUGAAGGUUUUCGGAUUGUAAACUCCUUUUGUUAGAGAAGAUAAUGACGGUAUCUAACGAAUAAGCACCGGCUAACUCCGUGCCAGCAGCCGCGGUAAUACGGAGGGUGCAAGCGUUACUCGGAAUCACUGGGCGUAAAGAGCGCGUAGGCGGGAUAGCAAGUCAGAGGUGAAAUCCUAUGGCUUAACCAUAGAACUGCAUUUGAAACUGUUAUUCUAGAGUAUGGGAGAGGUAGGCGGAAUGCGUGGUGUAGGGGUAAAAUGCGUAGAGAUCAAGAGGAAUACUCAUUGCGAAGGCGACCUGCUAGAACAUAACUGACGCUGAUGCGCGAAAGCGUGGGGAGCAAACAGGAUUAGAUACCCGAGUAGUC
This 440-nucleotide ribosomal RNA is filed under the name uncultured bacterium. RNAcentral describes it as "partial 16S ribosomal RNA". It matches the Rfam family "Bacterial small subunit ribosomal RNA", at positions 338 to 795 of the family's 1533-position model. The record is from RNAcentral.